RNAcentral lists this ribosomal RNA (860 nucleotides) under uncultured bacterium. RNAcentral describes it as "bacterial SSU rRNA". It matches the Rfam family "Bacterial small subunit ribosomal RNA", at positions 66 to 921 of the family's 1533-position model. The record is from RNAcentral.
ACGGGUUGUGCCAUUGGGUAACCGAAGGUACAGCUAGUGGCGAACGGGUGAGUAACGCAUGGGUAACGUACCCUGGACACAGGGAUAGCGGUUCGAAAGGGCCGGUAAUACCUGAUGAAGUCUUCGAGUCGCAUGGCUCGAUGAUCAAAUGGUCCGCUGGUCUGGGAUCGGCCCAUGUCCUAUCAGGUUGUUGGUGAGGUAAUGGCUCACCAAGCCUGCGACGGGUAGCGGGACUGAGAGGUUGGCCCGCCACAUCGGGACUGAGACACUGCCCGGACACCUACGGGUGGCUGCAGCACCGAAUAUUAGACAAUGGGCGCAAGCCUGAUCUAGCGACGCCGCGUGCAGGAUGAAGCCCUUCGGGGUGUAAACUGCUGUCAGGGGCUAGAAAUGCCUGCUUCGGCAGGUUUGAUCAGCCCCAGAGGAAGCCUCGGCUAACUCCGUGCCAGCAGCCGCGGUAAGACGGAGGAGGCAAGCGUUGUUCGGAAUCACUGGGCUUAAAGAGCGUGUAGGCGGACCGGUAAGUACUUUGUGAAAGCCCUCGGCUCAACCGAGGAACUGCUGGGUAUACUGCCGGUCUUGAGGCAAGUAGGGGCGAGUGGAACUCUAGGUGGAGCGGUGAAAUGCGUAGAGAUCUAGAGGAACGCCGGUGGCGAAAGCGACUCGCUGGACUUGUCCUGACGCUGAGACGCGAAAGCGUAGGGAGCGAACGGGAUUAGAUACCCCGGUAGUCUACGCCGUAAACGAUGCGCACUAGGUAUAAGGAUCUCUGACGAUGUUUGUGCCGAAGCAAAAGCGUUAAGUGCGCCGCCUGGGGAGUACGGCCGCAAGGCUAAAACUCAAAGGAAUUGACGGGGCCU